AAAAAAUUAGUUAAAUCAAUAACAUUAGUAUGUCAAACUAAAAUUAUCUUAAUUUAUAGAUAUUUUUUG
RNAcentral lists this transfer RNA (69 nucleotides) under Chironomus transvaalensis. Its description in RNAcentral is "tRNA-Asp". Lineage: Eukaryota; Metazoa; Arthropoda; Insecta; Diptera; Chironomidae. The record is from RNAcentral.